GCCUGGGUGGCUUAGUUGGUAGAGCGUGCGGCUGUUAACCGCGAGGUCACAGGUUCGAGUCCUGUCCCAGGCG
Molecule: transfer RNA, 73 nt
Filed under: Candidatus Woesearchaeota archaeon
Lineage: Archaea; Nanobdellati; Candidatus Woesearchaeota
Description: tRNA-Asn
Rfam family: tRNA
About the family: Transfer RNA (tRNA) molecules are approximately 80 nucleotides in length.
Source: RNAcentral